Molecule: ribosomal RNA, 301 nt
Filed under: uncultured bacterium
Lineage: Bacteria
Description: partial 16S ribosomal RNA
Rfam family: Bacterial small subunit ribosomal RNA
Source: RNAcentral
CAGCAGCCACGGGAAAACGGAGGGUGCAAGCGUUAUCCGGAUUUAUUGGGUUUAAAGGGUCCGUAGGCGGACUUAUAAGUCAGUGGUGAAAGCCUGUCGCUUAACGAUAGAACUGCCAUUGAUACUGUAAGUCUUGAGUAUAUUUGAGGUAGCUGGAAUAAGUAGUGUAGCGGUGAAAUGCAUAGAUAUUACUUAGAACACCAAUUGCGAAGGCAGGUUACCAAGAUAUAACUGACGCUGAGGGACGAAAGCGUGGGUAGCGAACAGGAUUAGAUACCCGCGUAGUCCCUGUCUCUUAUAC